UGCUGCUACAGCAACUUCACCCACAGCUACCAUGACUUUGAUCCCCGUCUUCAUCUGGACUCUGAUCCUCUGGACUCAAGAGUGCAGAGGUCAAGUCACAGUAACUCAGACUCCUGCAGUGAAAUCUGCUCGUCCAGGAGAAACAGUCACCAUCAACUGUAGAACCAGUCAGGCAGUGUAUUAUUACAGCUCAAACGGCCACUACUUAUACUGGUAUCAGCAGAAACCUGGAGAAGCUCCUAAACUCCUGAUCAAAUUUGCAAAUCAGCUACAGUCAGGUUUUCCAGCUCGUUUCAGUGGCAGUGGAUCUGGAUCUGAUUUCACUCUGACCAUCAGUGGAGUCCAGACUGAAGAUGCAGCAGAUUACUACUGUCAGAGUUACCAUAGCAUCAGUAGUAAAGCUGUGUUCACACAGUGUUAUAGAGUCGUACAAAAACCUGUAACUUCCUGAGAACUCCUGUGCCUUGAAUCAGUCAGUUUCUAUAACAGUUGGUGGAAGUUUCCUCCAAGGUUUAACCUCGAAAUCUUCAGUUAAUCCAAAUGACAGAAUCAACAAUCACCUCUGGCCUAAACUACAGUCAUAUACUCACUCACUAUGGAAGCAAAUCAGUCUCAUAAAUAAUUCACACAAAAGACACGAUGCACACAUACGUAUACCAAUUCACA
Non-coding RNA from Clarias gariepinus (North African catfish), 666 nucleotides. The record is from the annotation of a RefSeq genome assembly. NCBI's taxonomy places the organism in Eukaryota, Metazoa, Chordata, Actinopteri, Siluriformes, Clariidae.